This 496-nucleotide ribosomal RNA is filed under the name uncultured bacterium. RNAcentral describes it as "partial 16S ribosomal RNA". It matches the Rfam family "Bacterial small subunit ribosomal RNA", at positions 29 to 523 of the family's 1533-position model. The record is from RNAcentral.
AUUGAACGCUGGCGGCAUGCUUUACACAUGCAAGUCGAACGGUAGAGGGGGCAACCCCUUGAGAGUGGCGAACGGGUGAGUAAUGCAUCGGAACGUGCCCAGUCGUGGGGGAUAACGCAGCGAACGCUGUGUCAAUAACGCAUACGAUCUCUGGAUGAAAGCGGGGGGCCGAAAGGCUUCGCGCGAUGCGUGUGGCCGAGGUCAGAUUAGGUAGUUGGUGGGGGAAAGGCUCACCAAGCCAACGAUCUGUAGCCGGUCUGAGAGGACGACCGGCCACACUGGGACUGAGACACGGCCCAGACUCCUACGGGAGGCAGCAGUGGGGAAUUUUGGACAAUGGGCGCAAGCCUGAUCCAGCAAUGCCGCGUGCAGGAAGAAGGCCUUCGGGUUGUAAACUGCUUUUGUACGGAACGAAAAGGUCUGGGUUAAUACCCUGGGCACAUGACGGUACCGUAAGAAUAAGCACCGGCUAACUACGUGCCAGCAGCCGCCGUAA